UACGUAGGCUUUGUUCACCAUGGCUAUAAUCACCGUCUUGUUUUGUGUUGACGUCUCCGCUAGAGCUUCCUCUAGUUCAUCUUUCUCAUAUGGCUUCAUAUUGAACUGUAAUAACAUGUAGAAACACACGGUAAGUUAAUGUGUUAGAAUAUAAUAUGAUUCUGGUAUCAGAGCUCUCGGGUUUGACUUCCUGAUAUAGAUUAAGGAGAGAAGGUAGAGUUUGAGUGCUUACGGUUGCCGCAUGGGAUUUGCUACUAGAUGCAAGGAAUUGAGGUUUUUGAAAAGGUGUAGGCAAGAUCAAGUAGUUGACGUUGGCUUCAUUGCAAACGAAUACGUAGAGGAAACCAAGAAAAAGAAGAGAUGCGACGCUAAAAUUCACGAUCUGAUGGCUCUUUUGAGACUGAGCAAGAUCCAUAGAUAUUCUGUUAGGAAGAAUGAUCUUCUGCUUCGCUCUUAUUACUAUGUUGCGAUUUUUCUACUUGCGGGGAGGAGGGCUUAAGAAAAUUGGCUAAAAGUCAGUAGUUUUGUUUUAAUUAUACACGACUUGUUUACAUGUCGGUACGUUUUGUU
This 570-nucleotide long non-coding RNA is filed under the name Daucus carota (carrot). RNAcentral describes it as "long non-coding RNA (DCAR_LNC006984)". Lineage: Eukaryota; Viridiplantae; Streptophyta; Magnoliopsida; Apiales; Apiaceae. The record is from RNAcentral.